Molecule: non-coding RNA, 71 nt
Organism: Dipodomys ordii (Ord's kangaroo rat)
Lineage: Eukaryota; Metazoa; Chordata; Mammalia; Rodentia; Heteromyidae
Source: Rfam
GGAAAUGUUGGCUUAGUGGUAGAGUGCUUGCCUAGCAUGCAUGAAGCCCCAGGUUCGAUUCCUCAGUACCA